RNAcentral lists this ribosomal RNA (235 nucleotides) under uncultured bacterium. RNAcentral's name for it is "partial 16S ribosomal RNA". It matches the Rfam family "Bacterial small subunit ribosomal RNA", at positions 112 to 334 of the family's 1533-position model. The record is from RNAcentral.
AAUAAAUGGGUAAUUUGCCUCUUUGUUCGGAAUAGCCACCGGAAACGGUGAUUAAUGCCGGAUGUGUUCGGGAACUGCAUAGUUCCUUAUAUAAAGGCGGGGAUUCUUCGGAACCUGUCGCAAAGAGAUAAGCCCGUUUCCUAUCAGCUUGUUGGUGAGGUAAUGGCUCACCAAGGCUUACGGGUAGUUGGUCUGAGAGGAUGAUCAGCAACACUGGGACUGAGACACUGCCCAG